Molecule: transfer RNA, 75 nt
Filed under: Sphaerodactylus townsendi
Lineage: Eukaryota; Metazoa; Chordata; Lepidosauria; Squamata; Sphaerodactylidae
Description: tRNA-Ala
Source: RNAcentral
AGAGAGGCUGUGGCUCAAUGGAAGACCCUCUGCUUUGCAUUCAUAAAGUCUCAGGUUCAAUCCCUGGCCUCUCCA